Molecule: ribosomal RNA, 520 nt
Filed under: uncultured Glomeromycotina
Lineage: Eukaryota; Fungi; Glomeromycota
Description: SSU rRNA
Rfam family: Eukaryotic small subunit ribosomal RNA
Source: RNAcentral
AGCAGCCGCGGUAAUUCCAGCUCCAAUAGCGUAUAUUAAAGUUGUUGCAGUUAAAAAGCUCGUAGUUGAAUUUCGGGGUCAGUAGGUUGGUCGUGCCACUGGUAUGUACUGGCUUCACUGAUUCCUCCCUCUUGUAGAACCGUAAUGCCAUUAAUUUGGUGUUGCGGGGAAACAGGGACUGUUACUUUGAAAAAAUUAGAGUGUUUAAAGCAGGCUAACGCUUGAAUACAUUAGCAUGGAAUAAUGAAAUAGGACGUUUGAUCCUUAUUUUGUUGGUUUCUAGGAUUGACGUAAUGAUUAAUAGGGAUAGGUUGGGGGCAUUAGUAUUCAAUUUGUCAGAGGUGAAAUUCUUGGAUUUAUUGAAGACUAACUACUGACGAAAGCAUUUGCCAAGGAUGUUUUCAUCAAUCAAGAACGAAAGUUAGGGGAUCGAAGACGAUCAGAUACCGUCGUAGUCUUAACCAUAAACCUAUCGCCGACUAGGGAUCGGGAUGGAUGUUAAUUUUAAUGACUCAUUCGG